GUUAAUGUAGCUUAAAUAAAAGCAAAGCGCUGAAAAUGCUUAGAUGGACUCUAAGUCCCACUAAC
This 65-nucleotide transfer RNA is filed under the name Jaculus jaculus (lesser Egyptian jerboa). RNAcentral's name for it is "tRNA (ENSJJAG00000000001.1)". It matches the Rfam family "tRNA". From Rfam's summary of the family: Transfer RNA (tRNA) molecules are approximately 80 nucleotides in length. Their secondary structure includes four short double-helical elements and three loops (D, anti-codon, and T loops). Further hydrogen bonds mediate the characteristic L-shaped molecular structure. tRNAs have two regions of fundamental functional importance: the anti-codon, which is responsible for specific mRNA codon recognition, and the 3' end, to which the tRNAs corresponding amino acid is attached (by aminoacyl-tRNA synthetases). tRNAs cope with the degeneracy of the genetic code in two manners: having more than one tRNA (with a specific anti-codon) for a particular amino acid; and 'wobble' base-pairing, i.e. permitting non-standard base-pairing at the 3rd anti-codon position. Lineage: Eukaryota; Metazoa; Chordata; Mammalia; Rodentia; Dipodidae. The record is from RNAcentral.